GUUUAGCGUCGCGAUUCGCCCUUCCUACGGGAGGCAGCAGUGAGGAAUAUUGGUCAAUGGAGGCAACUCUGAACCAGCCAUGCCGCGUGCAGGAAGAAUGUCCUAUGGAUUGUAAACUGCUUUUGUACGGGAAGAAAAAGUGUUACGUGUAACAUAUUGACGGUACCGUAAGAAUAAGGAUCGGCUAACUCCGUGCCAGCAGCCGCGGUAAUACGGAGGAUCCAAGCGUUAUCCGGAAUCAUUGGGUUUAAAGGGUCCGUAGGCGGCCUUAUAAGUCAGUGGUGAAAGUUUUCGGCUUAACCGAAAAAUUGCCAUUGAUACUGUAGGGCUUGAAUGAUUGUGAAGUAACUAGAAUAUGUAGUGUAGCGGUGAAAUGCAUAGAUAUUACAUGGAAUACCAAUUGCGCAGGCAGGUUACUAACAAUUUAUUGACGCUGAUGGACGAAAGCGUGGGUAGCGAACAGGAUUAGAUACCCUGGUAGUCCACGCCGUAAACGAUGGAUACUAGUUGUUCGGUUUUCGGACUGAGUGACUAAGCGAAAGUGAUAAGUAUCCCACCCGGGGAGUACGGUCGCAAGACUGAAACUCAAAGGAAUUGACGGGGGCCCGCACAAGCGGUGGAGCAUGUGGUUUAAUUCGAUGAUACGCGAGGAACCUUACCAGGGCUUAAAUGUAUAUUGACCGAUUUGGAAACAGAUCUUUCGCAAGACAAUUUACAAGGUGCUGCAUGGUUGUCGUCAGCUCGUGCCGUGAGGUGUCAGGUUAAGUCCUAUAACGAGCGCAACCCCUGUUGUUAGUUGCCAGCGAGUCAUGUCGGGAACUCUAACAAGACUGCCAGUGCAAACUGUGAGGAAGGUGGGGAUGACGUCAAAUCAUCACGGCCCUUACGUCCUGGGCCACACACGUGCUACAAUGGCCGGUACAAUGGGCAGCCACUGCGCAAGCAGGAGCGAAUCCACAAAACCGGUCUCAGUUCGGAUCGGGGUCUGCAACUCGACCCCGUGAAGCUGGAAUCGCUAGUAAUCGGGAUAUCAGCCAUGAUCCGGUGAUACGUUCCCGGGCCUUGUACACCCCCACCCGUCAGCAUGGAGCUGGAAGCACCUGAAGUCGUCACCGCAGGAGCGGCCUAGGUGAAAGCUGUACUGGGCUAGUCGUACAAGGUACCAGGCAUCCGUCAACUGCAGAACAUAGUCUUUUUAUGUG
RNAcentral lists this ribosomal RNA (1202 nucleotides) under uncultured bacterium. RNAcentral describes it as "bacterial SSU rRNA". It matches the Rfam family "Bacterial small subunit ribosomal RNA", at positions 316 to 1533 of the family's 1533-position model. The record is from RNAcentral.